RNAcentral lists this ribosomal RNA (253 nucleotides) under uncultured bacterium. Its description in RNAcentral is "partial 16S ribosomal RNA". It matches the Rfam family "Bacterial small subunit ribosomal RNA", at positions 524 to 776 of the family's 1533-position model. The record is from RNAcentral.
UACAGAGGUCUCAAGCGUUGUUCGGAAUCACUGGGCGUAAAGGGUGUGUAGGCGGCGUGAAAAGUCAGAUGUGAAAUCCCUCGGCUUAACCGGGGAACUGCGUCUGAUACUGGAUGGCUAGAGUUUGGGAGAGGGAUGCGGAAUUCCAGGUGUAGCGGUGAAAUGCGUAGAUAUCUGGAGGAACACCGGUGGCGAAGGCGGCAUCCUGGACCAACACUGACGCUGAGGAGCGAAAGCCAGGGGAGCAAACGGG